UAGGGAAUCUUCGGCAAUGGACGAAAGUCUGACCGAGCAACGCCGCGUGAGUGAAGAAGGUUUUCGGAUCGUAAAACUCUGUUGUUAGAGAAGAACAAGGACGUUAGUAACUGAACGUCCCCUGACGGUAUCUAACCAGAAAGCCACGGCUAACUACGUGCCAGCAGCCUCGUUAAUUCGUAGGUGGCAAGCGUUGUCCGGAUUCAUUGGGCGUAAAGCGAGCGCAGGCGGUUUCUUAAGUCUGAUGUGAAAGCGCCCGGCUCAACCGGGGAGGGUCAUUGGAAACUGGGAGACUUGAGUGCAGAAGAGGAGAGUGGAAUUCCAUGUGUAGCGGUGAAAUGCGUAGAUAUAUGGAGGAACACCAGUGGCGAAGGCGGCUCUCUGGUCUGUAACUGACGCUGAGGCUCGAAAGCGUGGGGAGCAAACAGG
RNAcentral lists this ribosomal RNA (429 nucleotides) under Gemmatimonadota bacterium. RNAcentral describes it as "Gemmatimonadetes bacterium partial 16S ribosomal RNA". It matches the Rfam family "Bacterial small subunit ribosomal RNA", at positions 355 to 776 of the family's 1533-position model. The record is from RNAcentral. Lineage: Bacteria; Pseudomonadati; Gemmatimonadota.